Molecule: ribosomal RNA, 397 nt
Filed under: bacterium enrichment culture
Lineage: Bacteria
Description: bacterial SSU rRNA
Rfam family: Bacterial small subunit ribosomal RNA
Source: RNAcentral
UAAUACGAAGGUGGCGAAUGUUGCUCGGAUUCACUGGGCGUAAAGCGUCUGUAGGUGGCUUGUUAAGUUAGAGGUGAAAGCCCCGCGCUCAACGUGGGAACUGCCUUUAAAACUGGCGAGCUUGAGAGUAUCAGAGGUAGGCGGAAUAACUGGUGUAGAGGUAAAAUUCAUAGAUAUCAGUUGGAACAUCCAUGGCGAAGGCAGCUUACUGGGGUAUUUCUGACACUGAGAGACGAAAGCGUGGGGAGCAAACAGGAUUAGAUACCCUGGUAGUCCACGCCCUAAACGAUGCAUACUCGCUGUCGGGUUCGCUACAGAACUCGGUGGCUUAGCUAACGCGGUAAGUAUGCCGCCUGGGGAUUACGGCCGCAAGGUUAAAACUCAAAUGAAUUGACGG